Molecule: ribosomal RNA, 464 nt
Filed under: uncultured bacterium
Lineage: Bacteria
Description: partial 16S ribosomal RNA
Rfam family: Bacterial small subunit ribosomal RNA
Source: RNAcentral
CCUACGGGUGGCAGCAGUGGGGAAUAUUGCGCAAUGGGCGAAAGCCUGACGCAGCGACGCCGCGUGAGGGAUGAAGGUCUUCGGAUCGUAAACCUCUGUCAGCAGGGAAGAACGUUCACUGUUCUAAUCAGCAGUGAAUUCACGGUACCUGCAAAGGAAGCACCGGCUAACUCCGUGCCAGCAGCCGCGGUACUACGGAGGGUGCGAUGGUUAAUCGGAAUUACUGGGCGUAAAGCGCUCGUAGGCGGUAUGUAAGUCAAGGGUGAAAUCCCCGUGCUCAACGUGGGAACUGCCUUUGAAACUGGCUAACUUGAGUGUGUGAGAGGAUAGUGGAAUUCCAGGUGUAGGAGUGAAAUCCGUAGAUAUCUGGAGGAACAUCAGUGGCGAAGGCGACUAUCUGGCACAUAACUGACGCUGAGGAGCGAAAGCGUGGGUAGCAAACAGGAUUAGAUACCCCAGUAGUC